Long non-coding RNA from Homo sapiens (human), 2650 nucleotides. Ensembl annotates it as long intergenic non-protein coding RNA 1013. The record is from Ensembl. NCBI's taxonomy places the organism in Eukaryota, Metazoa, Chordata, Mammalia, Primates, Hominidae.
GACUCUCUUUUCGGACUCAGCCCACCUGCACCCAGGUGAAAUAAACAGCUUUACUGCUCUCACACAAAGCCUGUUUGGUGGUCUCUUCACACGGACGCGCAUGAAAUUUGGUGCCAUGACUCGGAUCGGGGGACCUCCCUUGGGAGAUCAAUCCCCUGUCUUCCUGUUCUUUGCUCCGUGAGAAAGAUCCACCUACAACCUCAGGUCCUCAGACCGACCAGCCCAAGGAACAUCUCACCAAUUUUAAAUCAGGGCAAAGGAUCUAAAUAGACAUUUCUCAAAAGAAGACAUACAGAUAUGGGGGCAAGUGGGGGAAUGCAAUAUAGCUGGCUAGACAUAGCCCAAUAGACACAGCCAGGUGGAACAGCUCCCACAGAGGGACCCAGAUAACUGGCAUGCUUCUAACAGAUCCUCAGAGGCAAGGCACUGAGAGUGGAUGGAGGGAAGACACAGAAGCUGGGCUGGAGGGGAAGAAACCUGGGAACACUGCCUGGGGAUACUGCUCACUGGGACUGAUUUUUGGACCACAACAGCUCCAGGAGAAUGGGUGACUUGAACUGGCAAGGAGCAACCUGCUCUCUCCACGGGCCUCUGGAACCCCGGCAAGAGAAGAUCCCUUGAUCACCAUGGACACUCAAGUUGGCAAGAAGAGCUCCUUAGAGAAGUCGUGGGAGGGCAAGCAAGCUGAUGUGGAGCCAGGACGAUUUGAUGUGGGAGCACCUGCAGUGGAGCACAGCCAGGGAGAGCCAUCUCCCCAGGCCUGACUUGCUCCCAUAGGAGACUUUAGCCCUAGGGGAACUGUCCAUCCUGAUCUCUGCAGGGUGGUCUUGUCCAUCAGACAGGGCUGAUUCGACCUGAGCACCCCUUGGUCUGCUGGCCUUUCUGGGGUCCCAGCCUGGCCAGACCUGCUUGCAGGGCAGUCUUGGGUGCCCUGGAGGCCACGCCAUAGCUUCUGUGCUGGCAGAUAGUAUCUGACUGGUGGAGAGCUCCAGCAAGGCUGCCCCUAGGCCACACACCAGCCCAUCCACCCCCUCCCCACACUGCAGCUUCCCUAGGCCCAGGAAACUCCUCACGUGUCUUUGCUGGCACAAGUCUGCACAGGUAGGUUUUGCCUUCCUUGCCCUGCCAGUGCAUGGGAGUGUAGUCUGCCCCCCUGCCCCGUCUGGCUGUCAUUGAAGACAGAGCCUUGGUGGGCACAGAGCAAGCCAGCUCCCCCGCAACGCCCACCUCAACACCUGGCCCUUGUGCUAACACUGUGCAGAGAACAGUGGACCCUGCUCGCACCCUGAGUGAUCACUCCUGCUUGUGGGGCACAGAGAAGGUGUCCAGACCUGCUCACGCCAGUGCCCUGCCCCCAAGCCAACACCACAUCCAACAGGAGCCUGCACCCAGUCUUCAGCAUAGAGGUGAAAGAUCUCUACGAGGAGAACUAUGAAACACUGCUCAAAAUAAUCAAAUAUGAUACAAGCAAAUGGAAGAGCAUGCAAUGCUCAUGGAUAGGAAGAAUCAAUAUCAUAAAAAUGGCCAUACUGCCCAAAGCAAUUUAUAGAUUCAAUGCUAUUCCUAUUAAACUACCAUUGAUAUUCUUCACAAAACUAGAGAAAACUAUUUUAAAGUUCAUAUGGAACCAAAAAAGAGCCUGAAUAGCCAAGGAAAUCCUAAGCAAAAAGAACAAAGCUGGAAGCAUCAUGCUACCCAACUUCAAACUAUACUACAGGACUACAGUAACCAAAACAGCGUGGUACUGGUACAAAAACAGACACAUAGACCAAUGAAACAGAAUAGAGAACCCAGAAAUGGUUCUCUAUUUCACACACCUACAACUAUCUGAUCUUCGACAAACCUGAUAAAAACAAGCAAUAGGGAAAUGAUUCUGUAUUCAUUAAAUGAUGCUGGAAUAACUGGCUAGCCAUAUGCUGAAGAUUAAAACUGGACCCCUUCCUUAUACUGUACACAAAAAUCAACUCAAAAUGGAUGAAAGACUUAAAUGUAAAACCCAAAACUAUAACAACAAUAGAAGACAACCUAGGCAAUACCAUCUUGGAUAUAGGAACAGGCAAAAAUUUCAUGACAAAGACACCAAAAGCAAUUGAAACAAAAGCAAAAAUUGAAAAGUGGGUUCUAAAUAAAACUAAAGAGCUCCUGCACAGCAAAGAAAAUACAAACAGAGUGAACAGACAACCUACAGAAUGACAGUAUCUGCAAACUAUACAUCCAACAAAGAUCUAAUAUUCAGCAUCUAUAAGAAACUUAAACAAAUUUCCAAAAACAACCCCAUUAAAAAGUGGGCAAAGCAUAUGAACAGACACUUUUCAAAAGAAGACAUACAUGCAGCCAACAAACAUGAAAAAGGCUCAACACCACCAAUCAUUAGAGAAAUGCAAAUCAAAACCACAAUGAGAUACCAUCUCACACUAGUCAGAAUGGCUGAUGGCUGUUAUUAAAAAGUCAAAAAAUAACAGAUGCUGGCAAGGUUGUGGAGAAAAGGCAAUGCUUAUGCACUGUUGGUGGGAGUAUAAAUUAGUUCAAUCAUUGUGGUUGACAGUGUGGUGAUUCCUCAAAGAUCUGAAAACAGAAAUAUAAUUCUACCUAGCAAUGCUACUACUGGGUAUAUACCCAAAGAAAAAUAAAUUGUUCAAUUAUAAAGACA